This is a non-coding RNA of Linepithema humile (Argentine ant), 445 nucleotides long. The record is from RefSeq and is a predicted model, not a curated record. Lineage: Eukaryota; Metazoa; Arthropoda; Insecta; Hymenoptera; Formicidae.
UCAUGUAUGUUACAAAUAUGGGAUCCCCACUGAAACAUGUUCACGGUGAAUAAUAUAUGUCAAAUGAGGAAAGAGCCAAGAAGUGUGUGCUGCGUUGUAUUCUGGCCUUUCGCUUCCCAUAACAUAGAACGCGGUUGUACCCUGACUGUGGCCGAUGUAAUAUAAUUGGGAAUGACCAGUUUUCUCUAAGACAUAAUCUAUCAUCGCUGGUAUAUCGUAGUAUCCAAUCUCGUGCCAGCUGCAACAGAAGUAUUUCCACGAGCAUUUGCGAGCCAAACAUCGAAUCCAUUGUCACAAAGAGUGUAUGCUGAAAUGUGAAAAAUUAUAUGAUACAAAAUAAGUAUAUAACAUCUUAAAAAUAUAUAAUCAUCAUAUCACUAAUCUCUAAUGAUUGCUAAGCUCAUAAUCGAAUGAUUAAAUAAAUAAUAAAGACGCAAAAUGAAAA